Molecule: ribosomal RNA, 169 nt
Filed under: uncultured bacterium
Lineage: Bacteria
Description: partial 16S ribosomal RNA
Rfam family: Bacterial small subunit ribosomal RNA
Source: RNAcentral
UCGCUAGUAAUCGCGAAUCAGAAUGUCGCGGUGAAUACGUUCCCGGGCCUUGUACACACCGCCCGUCACACCAUGGGAGUUGGAAGCACCCGAAGUCGGUGACCUGACCGAAAGGGAGGAACCGCCGAAGGUGAAGCCAGCGACUGGGGUGAAGUCGUAACAAGGUAGC